CCUACGGGAGGCAGCAGUGGGGAAUAUUGCACAAUGGGGGGAACCUUGAUGCAGCAACGCCGCGUGGGUGAAGAAGUACUCCGGUAUGUAAAGCCCUGUCAGCAGGGAAGAAAAUGACGGUACCUGACCAAGAAGCCCCGGCUAAAUCCGUGCCAGCAGCCGCGGUAAUACGUAGGGGGCAAGCGUUAUCCGGAUUUACUGGGGGUAAAGGGAGCGUAGUCGGCAAGGCAAGUCUGGAGUGAAAGCCCGGGGCCCAACCCCGGGACUGCCUUGGAAACUGGCUUGCUGGAGUGCAGGAGGGGUAAGCGGAAUUCCUAGUGUAGCGGUGAAAUGCGUAGAUAUUAGGAGGAACACCGGUGGCGAAGGCGGCUUACUGGACUGUAACUGACGUUGAGGCUCGAAGGCGUGGGGAGCAAACAGGAUUAGAUACCCUAGUAGUC
RNAcentral lists this ribosomal RNA (440 nucleotides) under uncultured bacterium. RNAcentral describes it as "partial 16S ribosomal RNA". It matches the Rfam family "Bacterial small subunit ribosomal RNA", at positions 338 to 795 of the family's 1533-position model. The record is from RNAcentral.